AAGUCGUAACAAGGUCUCCGUAGGUGAACCUGCGGAGGGAUCAUUAACACGUUUUAAAACACGUUUUAACACACCCAACAACCAACCACGUGAACUAUUUAACACUCCUGGAAAAGAGAGAAUUCUGUCUAUGCAAACACUAAUGAUGAGCUCUCGCAAGGGAGCGGUGUGUGUAGACUAGCAUUGCAGGCAACUGACUUUGUAAAGACCUUUCUUUUCUGGGCUAAAUGCCUUUCUCAUCACUGGGGCGAAAACACCACUUUCACUACUUCUAUAACCAUUGACUGUAUCUUUUUUUAAUUGUUCUGCGCAAGCAGUGCUAAUUGAAAGAAACCAUAAUCAAAUAUCUAAGCACAACUCUUAGCAACGGAUAUCUUGGUUCUC
Molecule: unclassified non-coding RNA, 384 nt
Filed under: fungal sp.
Lineage: Eukaryota; Fungi
Description: partial internal transcribed spacer region
Rfam family: Eukaryotic small subunit ribosomal RNA (bases 1-46)
Source: RNAcentral